Long non-coding RNA from Podarcis raffonei (Aeolian wall lizard), 546 nucleotides. RefSeq lists it as uncharacterized. NCBI's taxonomy places the organism in Eukaryota, Metazoa, Chordata, Lepidosauria, Squamata, Lacertidae. The transcript has 3 exons. The record is from RefSeq and is a predicted model, not a curated record.
UCAAUAGGGCUUACUUCUGGAUAAGCUAAGCAUGGCCAGGAGGAUGCUGCCAAAAUCCCCAGGCUCUGCUUGAAAAGAAAGCUGCUCAUGUUCUGCUGCUCUGCUUCUUCGGAAGGCAACAAAAGAGAGGGUCAAGAGGAACGCCGACAUCCCUAUGUACUUACUAAGCAACCUAUUGCUGCAGUCAAGGAAUGCUUUCUAAGGCUAUAUACACUUUGGGGGUUUAAAACACAAUGAGGUUGUUUCUCCCCUGCUGCAUUUUAAGUUCCAUUUGCAUGCUGUUGUACACAACAGAGAGGAUAGCUUCACCUGACGUGCAUUACCUGCUUGGCUUCCCUGCCCCUGAUACCCCAGCACCUCCUGUUCAUGAAACUGUCUUCUGCACAUAGAAAACGGAUCAGACAGAAGGUGAUGUAAAAGUCCUCUGCUCAACACCAGUCAAAGCCAGCCAGAGGAGAUAAAGCCAGGUUAGAUGAAAAGGUAACCUGACUUCAGAAAGUGAUUUCAUUGGCCUCUUUGAGAAAAGGAAUUCAUGUUGGUUGGCUG